GGGCCCGCACAAGCGGAGGAACAUGUGGUUUAAUUCGAUGAUACGCGAGGAACCUUACCCGGGCUUGAAAUGUACCUGAAAGGAUGCGAAAGCGUUCUGCCGGCACGGCAGGUAUGUAGGUGCUGCAUGGUUGUCGUCAGCUCGUGCCGUGAGGUGUCGGCUUAAGUGCCAUGACGAGCGCAACCCUCAUCGGAAGUUACUAACAGGUAAAGCUGAGGACUCUGCCGAGACUGCCGGCGUAAGCUGUGAGGAAGGUGGGGAUGACGUCAAAUCAGCACGGCCCUUACGUCCGGGGCGACACACGUGUUACAAUGGCCGGUACAGCGGGGAGCGACCAAGCGAUUGGAAGCCAAUCCCGAAAACCGGUCCCAGUUCGGAUUGGAGUCUGCAACUCGACUCCAUGAAGCUGGAUUCGCUAGUAAUCGCGCAUCAGCCAUGGCG
This 441-nucleotide ribosomal RNA is filed under the name uncultured Bacteroidota bacterium. Its description in RNAcentral is "bacterial SSU rRNA". It matches the Rfam family "Bacterial small subunit ribosomal RNA", at positions 917 to 1359 of the family's 1533-position model. Lineage: Bacteria; Pseudomonadati; Bacteroidota. The record is from RNAcentral.